RNAcentral lists this small RNA (933 nucleotides) under Mycena sanguinolenta. Its description in RNAcentral is "eukaryotic LSU rRNA". The stretch from base 292 to 933 matches the Rfam family "Eukaryotic large subunit ribosomal RNA", at positions 1 to 618 of the family's 3401-position model. Lineage: Eukaryota; Fungi; Basidiomycota; Agaricomycetes; Agaricales; Mycenaceae. The record is from RNAcentral.
GAAUUCAGUGAAUCAUCGAAUCUUUGAACGCACCUUGCGCCCUUUGGUAUUCCGAAGGGCAUGCCUGUUUGAGUGUCAUUAAAUUAUCAACCUUGCUCGCUUUUACUAGCUUGAGUUAGGCUUGGAUGUGAGGGUUUUUGCAGGCUUUUGUGGUCUGCUCCCUUUAAAUGCAUUAGUGGGAUCUAUUGUGGACCGUCACUUGGUGUGAUAAUUAUCUAUGCCUUGAGACUUUGAAACAAACUUAUUAGAACCUGCUCAUAACCGUCCUUCAUGGGACAACUUUUGACAAUUUGACCUCAAAUCAGGUAGGACUACCCGCUGAACUUAAGCAUAUCAAUAAGCGGAGGAAAAGAAACUAACAAGGAUUCCCCUAGUAACUGCGAGUGAAGCGGGAAAAGCUCAAAUUUAAAAUCUGGCGGUCCCUGUGGUCGUCCGAGUUGUAAUUUAGAGAAGCGUUAUCCGCGCUGGACCGUACACAAGUCUCCUGGAAUGGAGCGUCAUAGAGGGUGAGAAUCCCGUCUUUGGUACGGACUGCCAGGGCAUUGUGAUGCGCUCUCAAAGAGUCGAGUUGUUUGGGAAUGCAGCUCAAAAUGGGUGGUAAAUUCCAUCUAAAGCUAAAUAUUGAGGAGAGACCGAUAGCGAACAAGUACCGUGAGGGAAAGAUGAAAAGAACUUUGGAAAGAGAGUUAAACAGUACGUGAAAUUGCUGAAAGGGAAACGCUUGAAGUCAGUCGCGUCGUCCAGGACUCAGCCUUGCUUUUGCUUGGUGUACUUCUUGUUCGACGGGUCAACAUCAAUUUUGGUCGGUGGAUAAAGGCUUAGAGAAUGUGGCACCUUCGGGUGUGUUAUAGCUCUGGGUCGCAUACAUCGGCUGGGAUUGAGGAACUCAGCACGCCGCAAGGCCGGGUACUUGUACCACGUACGUGCUUAGGA